AGGCGUAGCCGAUGCACAGACGGUAGAGAUUCCGUCACCACCAAAAGAGUUAAGCACAGGGACACAUUUGAAGUCUCUGAGCCGGGUGUUGGUUCCGGUAGAGAUCGAGGGAAGUUAGUACCGAAGUCUGAGAUGGAAGAUGGCGAGAAAAGCUGUGUGUAUUUCUGAGGUGCCCGUACCGCAAACCGACACAGGUAGGUAGGAAGAAGAUUCUAAGGCCAACGGGAGAAGGGUUGUUAAGGAACUCGGCAAAUUGACCCCGUAACUUCGGGAGAAGGGGUGCUCCAGAGAUGGAGGCGCAGAGAAUCGGCCCAAGCAACUGUUUACCAAAAACACAGGUUUGUGCUAAAUCGAAAGAUGACGUAUACGAGCUGACGCCUGCCCGGUGCUGGAAGGUUAAGAGGAGAUGUGCAAGCAUUGAAUCGAAGCCCCAGUGAACGGCGGCCGUAACGAUAACGGUCCUAAGGUAGCGAAAUUCCUUGUCAGGUAAGUUCUGACCCGCAUGAAAGGCGUAAUGAUUUGGGCACUGUCUCAACAGCCCGCCCGGCGAAAUUGUAGUACCGGUGAAGAUGCCGGUUACCCGCGACAAGACGGAAAGACCCCAUGGAGCUUUACUGUAGCCUAAUAUUGGGUUUCGAUGUUGCAUGCACAGGAUAGAUGGGACACAGGGAAACAAUCGCUUUGGCGGUUGCGGAGUGGCCGUUGGGAUACCAUCCUUGCGAUAUUGGAAUUCUAACCUGCGGCUCUGAAUCGAGUCGGGGGACAUUGUUAGGUGGGCAGUUUGACUGGGGCGGUCGCCUCCUAGAAAGUAACGGAGGCGUUCAAAGGUUCGCUCAGCUUGAACGGAAAUCAAGCAAAAGAGUGCAAACGCAGAAGCGAGCCUAACUGCGAGACUGACGGGUCGAGCAGUAACGAAAGUUGGAGUUAGUGAUCCGGUGGUAUGUGAGUGGAAAUGCCAUCGCUCAACGGAUAAAAGUUACCCUGGGGAUAACAGGCUGAUCUCCCCCAAGAGUCCACAUCGACGGGGAGGUUUGGCACCUCGAUGUCGGCUCAUCGCAUCCUGGGGCUGUAUUCGGUCCCAAGGGUUUGGCUGUUCGCCAAUUAAAGCGGUACGCGAGCUGGGUUCAGAACGUCGUGAGACAGUUCGGUCCCUAUCUGUCGUGGGCGCAGGAUAUUUGAUGGGAGCUGUCCCUAGUACGAGAGGACCGGGACGGACGUACCUCUGGCGCACCAGUUGUUCCGCCAGGAGCAUAGCUGGGCAACUACGUACGGAUCGGAUAAACGCUGAAAGCAUCUAAGCGUGAAGCCGACCCAAAGAUAAGAUAUCCCACUGAUUAGAUCAGGUAAGAUCCCUUGAAGACUACAAGGUUGAUAGGCACGAUGUGUAAGUGGAGUGAUCCAUUCAGCAAGAGUGUACUAAUAGAUCGAGGGCUUGACC
This 1438-nucleotide ribosomal RNA is filed under the name metagenome. RNAcentral's name for it is "bacterial LSU rRNA". It matches the Rfam family "Bacterial large subunit ribosomal RNA", at positions 1407 to 2925 of the family's 2925-position model. The record is from RNAcentral.